GAGCUCUUAAGAGCAAAAAAACUGAGGAAGAACACAGGAUGAGGAGAGAAGAGGAGAGGAGAUAAUACAAUUUACUAAGAUGGAGAAAAAGGAUGCUCAUGACAAAUAUUUAUAAAUAUAUGUAUAUAACUAGUAAUGCGCAAGUAACUGCUCACCACCUCCUGACUCAUGGCAGCUAGCCCACUGAGCAGUAGAAGAGGAAGAAAUGAACUCCCACCCUCUUCAGAACUUCUGCACAAUAAGAACCAAAAGAGAGCAUCAUGCCAGACAGUCUGAAGAGAACAAUUCUGUACCAGCUGAAACUAAGAUAGAUAGAAUCAUCUGGAAGAGAUCUUCAAAGAUCUUCCAGUGCAACUAACCACUUCAGGGCUAACUUUAAGUUAUAGCUUAUUACUAAGAUACUUGUGUAUGUGUCUCUUGAACACUGACAGUAUGGGACAUCAACUGCCUGCAAAAAAGCCUGUUCAGAUGUUUGACAACACUCAUGAGAAGAAACUGGCACCUCCCUCUCCAUUUCUCCUCAAGAAGUUGCAGAGCAAUGAGAUUACCUCUUAGCCUCCUUUCCUCAAGUAGACAAAUCAAUUGUCCUCAGCUUCACUUUAUAAGAGAAGCC
Molecule: long non-coding RNA, 613 nt
Organism: Lagopus leucura (white-tailed ptarmigan)
Lineage: Eukaryota; Metazoa; Chordata; Aves; Galliformes; Phasianidae
Exons: 3
Source: RefSeq, a predicted model, not a curated record